UACGAAGGUGGCAAGCGUUGUUCGGAUUCACUGGGCGUACAGGGUGUGUAGGCGGUUUGGUAAGCCUUCUGUUAAAGCUUCGGGCCCAACCCGGAAAGCGCAGAGGGUACUGCCAGGCUAGAGGGCGGGAGAGGAGAGUGGAAUUCCUGGUGUAGCGGUGAAAUGCGCAGAUAUCAGGAAGAACACCAAUGGCGAAGGCAGCUCUCUGGGACGGUACUGACGCUGAGACGCGAAAGCGUGGGGAGCGAACAGG
RNAcentral lists this ribosomal RNA (253 nucleotides) under uncultured bacterium. RNAcentral describes it as "partial 16S ribosomal RNA". It matches the Rfam family "Bacterial small subunit ribosomal RNA", at positions 524 to 776 of the family's 1533-position model. The record is from RNAcentral.